RNAcentral lists this ribosomal RNA (497 nucleotides) under uncultured bacterium. RNAcentral's name for it is "partial 16S ribosomal RNA". It matches the Rfam family "Bacterial small subunit ribosomal RNA", at positions 28 to 507 of the family's 1533-position model. The record is from RNAcentral.
GAUGAACGCUGGCGGCGUGCCUAAUACAUGCAAGUCGAGCGAACGGACGAGAAGCUUGCUUCUCUGAUGUUAGCGGCGGACGGGUGAGUAACACGUGGAUAACCUACCUAUAAGACUGGGAUAACUUCGGGAAACCGGAGCUAAUACCGGAUAAUAUUUUGAACCGCAUGGUUCAAAAGUGAAAGACGGUCUUGCUGUCACUUAUAGAUGGAUCCGCGCUGCAUUAGCUAGUUGGUAAGGUAACGGCUUACCAAGGCAACGAUGCAUAGCCGACCUGAGAGGGGGAACGGCCAAAAUGGAAAUGAGAAAAGGGACAGAAUCCUAAGGGAGGCAGGAGUAGGGAAUUUUCCGGAAUGGGCGGAAGCCUGAAGGAGCAAAGGCGCGUGAGGUAAGAAGGGUCUCGGAUUGGAAAAACCUGGUAAUAGGGAAGAACAUAUGGGGAAGGAAACGGGCAAAACUUGAAGGGAACUAAAUAGAAAGGCAAGGCUAAAUAAGGG